CCUACGGGUGGCUGCAGUGGGGAAUAUUGGACAAUGGGGGGAACCCUGAUCCAGCCAUGCCGCGUGUGUGAAGAAGGCCCUCGGGUUGUAAAGCACUUUCAGUGAGGAAGAACGCCUGGUGGUUAAUACCCAUCAGGAAAGACAUCACUCACAGAAGAAGCACCGGCUAACUCCGUGCCAGCAGCCGCGGUAAUAUGGAGGGUGCGAGCGUUAAUCGGAAUUACUGGGCGUAAAGCGCGCGUAGGUGGCUUGAUAAGCCGGUUGUGAAAGCCCCGGGCUCAACCUGGGAACGGCAUCCGGAACUGUCAAGCUAGAGUGCAGGAGAGGAAGGUAGAAUUCCCGGUGUAGCGGUGAAAUGCGUAGAGAUCGGGAGGAAUACCAGUGGCGAAGGCGGCCUUCUGGACUGACACUGACACUGAGGUGCGAAAGCGUGGGUAGCAAACAGGAUUAGAUACCCUAGUAGUC
RNAcentral lists this ribosomal RNA (465 nucleotides) under Vreelandella stevensii. RNAcentral describes it as "partial 16S ribosomal RNA". It matches the Rfam family "Bacterial small subunit ribosomal RNA", at positions 338 to 795 of the family's 1533-position model. The record is from RNAcentral. Lineage: Bacteria; Pseudomonadati; Pseudomonadota; Gammaproteobacteria; Oceanospirillales; Halomonadaceae.